This 1545-nucleotide long non-coding RNA is filed under the name Strongylocentrotus purpuratus (purple sea urchin). Its description in RNAcentral is "uncharacterized LOC105442618". Lineage: Eukaryota; Metazoa; Echinodermata; Echinoidea; Camarodonta; Strongylocentrotidae. The record is from RNAcentral.
UCAAAGAUAAACUAAUUGAGUAUAAGGCACUUGUUUAGAGACAUAAGAGGACAAUUUAGAAUUGUUGUUCUGGAUCCAGUUUAGAACAAGGCUUUUAAUUUCUUUGUAACAAUAACCUAAGUGACCACGGUAUAGAUCUGUUUGAAAUAAGGAGCACCCAGUCCUGCAACUGCCACGCCCACCAUCGGUUUGUGGGUCCACAGGAUCUUCAUCCCUGUGCUCGACCACCAGCACCAAAAAACUGAGGGUGAAGUGCAAAAAACUACCCCAACAUAAUGAGCAUCCAAUCCCGCUACUACCAGACACAUCAUCCGUUAGUGUGUCAGCUGGAUAAUCAUCCCUGUUCUGCAGUACCAGCGAUCAAGCGGCGAGGGUAAAAUUCACCCAGGAAGAGAAGGAGGCAGUCCAGAAGCUUUUCCAGAGCUGGAUAGAAAAGGGUGACAUGCCUCGCAUAGGCGUGGUGAGGGACAUAGUUAAACAAAAUAAAAAAGUAGCACGUUGCCUCUCUAACCGAUCAUUUCUCCAAGUGAGGGACAGAGUCCGCAAUGCAAUAAAAGCUCAAACAAAAUCUACGUCUAUGUAGAUCAUCAACUAUUUCAUUCAUCUUUCUUUUUUCUCAGUUGCUUUCUUAAUGUAAUAUCCCUCACAACGCCUAUGCAAGGCAUGUCACCUUUUUCUAUCCAGCUGUUGAUAUUCUAAUGAAAUGUUUAAGAAAUGGCAGUGCACACUUGUCAGUAAGUCUGAAUGUUUUGUUAAAGUAGUUUUCGUGAUUCUUCUUUCUAUUCUUGUUCUUUUACUUUUUACAUGAUUAUGAUAUGCUUUUUAUGAAUAUGAAGGUACAAUUGUAUCAAUAAAAACCUUCAAUUGUCAUUAAUAAAACACUUUGAGCAGGACAUAGGAGAUAGUUUUGUAUUAUGUCCGAACUAAAUAUGAGUUGAGUCAAAUCAAAAAAUCAUAAUUAUCUACAUUGGACGUAAAAAUGAUUGAGUUAUGGCAUUUUUGAACUUUUGUAUUGUUUCAUGAAACAGUUAUAUGCAUAACAUGGGCUGUAUUUCGAUUAGUGACAUGCCGCACUGUCAUAUGCUCGAUUUUCCUUAUGUGUAUUAUAUUAAAUAUAUAUUCCUGUACACUAUUAACAUAUUUUUAAAAAGAAUACCCGUUUUACCGGUCCUAAGCUUUGGAACGAUUUACCUUAAACUAUGAGGAAAUCUGUACUUCUAUUGGAAGCUUUAAAAAAUGUAUAAUUUUAAAUUACAGUGCAUAAGUAUUAGCCCUAUACCCGAUGAGGCUGACGAGUGUGUGUGUGUAUAUUGUAUAAGGGGAUGUGUAUAUAACCCAAUUAUAUUGUACUGGCACCAUGAAAGCUCUCGUGUUAUAAACAGCUUCGCGGGACUCGAACCCACCCAAGUAAAAUAAAAAAGAGUUUACAACACACAUGAAGCUAUAUAUUAAAGUUAAUUAAUAAUAGCAGUUUGUGUCAUAUAUAUUUAAAAGAAUUUGCACUUUAGGAAUGCAAAAGAUUAAAUGUAUUUUCUUACACCGUAA